GCUGGAUCCGAAACUGAAGACGAAAUCGCACCGAAACCGAAAACCGAAAUCGAAACCGAAACCAGAGCCAAAGCCGAAACUGAAACUGAAUCCGGGACUGAAAUAGAAACUGAAACCGAAAGGCAAGGCUCAAAGGCAGCAGGAGGCGAUGCAGCUAAAUCGGAGUACGAGUACUUUAA
RNAcentral lists this ribosomal RNA (179 nucleotides) under Partenskyella glossopodia. RNAcentral describes it as "partial Bacterial large subunit ribosomal RNA". The record is from RNAcentral. Lineage: Eukaryota; Cercozoa; Chlorarachniophyceae.